Molecule: ribosomal RNA, 253 nt
Filed under: uncultured bacterium
Lineage: Bacteria
Description: partial 16S ribosomal RNA
Rfam family: Bacterial small subunit ribosomal RNA
Source: RNAcentral
UACGUAGGCAGCGAGCGUUGUUCGGAGUUACUGGGCGUAAAGGGUUUGUAGGUGGCCCGCUAAGUCACACGUGAAAUCCCUCAGCUUAACUGGGGAACUGCGUGUGAGACUGGCAGGCUUGAGUGCAGGAGAGGAACGCGGAAUUCCAGGUGUAGCGGUGAAAUGCGUAGAUAUCUGGAGGAACACCGGUGGCGAAGGCGGCGUUCUGGACUGUAUCUGACACUGAAGAACGAAAGCCAGGGGAGCAAACGGG